This 18-nucleotide unclassified non-coding RNA is filed under the name Mus musculus (house mouse). Its description in RNAcentral is "oocyte_clustered_small_RNA2565". The record is from RNAcentral. Lineage: Eukaryota; Metazoa; Chordata; Mammalia; Rodentia; Muridae.
GAUGGGACCCUAAGUAGC